AUGCAUCUAUUUGACAGACCCGGAGCAGUUCCUGUCUGCUGCUAAGGUUCCUGUGCAGAUGCAAGACAAAAGAGUCCUCACGCUUUCUUCCUGUCUGUGGCAGUCAAAAUUGAAUGGGGGGAGUACAGAG
Small nucleolar RNA from Pteropus vampyrus (large flying fox), 130 nucleotides. Lineage: Eukaryota; Metazoa; Chordata; Mammalia; Chiroptera; Pteropodidae. The record is from Ensembl.